ACACACCGCCCGUCAAACCAUGGGAGCUGGUAAUGCCCGAAGUCGGUUUAUUAACAAACUGCCUAAGGCAGGACUGGUGACUGGGGUUAAGUCGUAACAAGGUAUCCCUACGAGAACGUGGGGAUGGAUCACCUCCUUUCUACGGAGUACAAAAGAGCUUAUUUUAAUAAGUUAUUAACCUUUAAUUAUCAGACCUAAUUUUUGAUUGUUUUAGUAUAAAACAAUAUUUGUCAUGCGUUUCUUUAUAGGUCUAAGAAACAAUAUAUCUAGUUUUGAGAGGACAAAUCUCUCAAUUGUUCUUUGAAAACUGAAUAGUAAAUUACAAGAUAUUUACAACGACAUCAAAUAAAUUAAAUAAAUUAAAUGGUUAAUUUGUUUUGAUUCAUCGAGUAAUCAUUAAAUAUGAUUCAUUAAAAUGUCUUGGAAUACACAUCAACAACUAAACAAUAGGAAAAUACUUUUAAAUAAG
This 469-nucleotide unclassified non-coding RNA is filed under the name Mycoplasma sp. AR-2012. RNAcentral describes it as "sequence contains ITS1". The stretch from base 1 to 139 matches the Rfam family "Bacterial small subunit ribosomal RNA", at positions 1385 to 1533 of the family's 1533-position model. Lineage: Bacteria; Bacillati; Mycoplasmatota; Mollicutes; Mycoplasmatales; Mycoplasmataceae. The record is from RNAcentral.